Molecule: ribosomal RNA, 115 nt
Filed under: Bacteroidaceae bacterium
Lineage: Bacteria; Pseudomonadati; Bacteroidota; Bacteroidia; Bacteroidales; Bacteroidaceae
Source: RNAcentral
UGCGGCAGCAAAAGUGGUGGUAUAAGACAUCUCUUCCCUUUCCGAACAGAGAAGUUGAGCCCGUAUACGCCAAUGGUACUGCAAUGAAAUGCGGGAGAGUAGGAAGCUGCCUAUU